AGCCAAUUGAGUGCUGAGUUUGCCUUCAAGACAGUGGGCUGGGCGUCACACAUGAUUGGCUCCAGACUGAUUGUUCUAAUGACGCUCAUGUGUGAUCACUGUGACAUUUAGGUGUCUAUUUUACAUGCUCUGGGAAUAUCUGCAUUUGUCAUCAAACUUCAGUGUAUGAAGCAGACCCAUGGGGUUACAGUCUUGCAAGCCUUGCAACUCCUGCCUGCCGGACUGCAGAGCGGCUGGUGGCUGCUCGUGUGUGUGCGGCGACUGGAGAUAUUGCUCCGAACGCUGCUGCUGUGACAUCUGCUGCCAGAUGUGUGUGGACGUGUGCUCUGGCGUGUGUUCAGGAGACUGCAGCUACACCUUCUGUACCCUCUGCCUCAGCAUGGCACAGAGCUGUACCUCGUUUUUUACCACCCAACAAACUGAAACAUCAGAGGCACAACAACAAUGGCCCUCACAAUAAGCCCAAGCUUAUCACCACAAUCAUGGCUGAACAAAACAACUGUGAUCAAAACAAGGCU
This is a long non-coding RNA of Cottoperca gobio, 518 nucleotides long. NCBI's taxonomy places the organism in Eukaryota, Metazoa, Chordata, Actinopteri, Perciformes, Bovichtidae. The record is from Ensembl.